UACAGAGGUCCCGAGCGUUGUUCGGAUUCACUGGGCGUAAAGGGUGCGUAGGCGGCUCUGAAAGUCUGAUGUGAAAUCUCCAGGCCCAACCUGGAAAUGGCAUUAGAAACUACAGGGCUAGAGGCUUGGAGGGGGAACUGGAAUUCUCGGUGUAGCAGUGAAAUGCGUAGAGAUCGAGAGGAACACCAGUGGCGAAGGCGGCAUCCUGGACCGGCAUUGACGCUGAGGCGCGAAAGCCAGGGGAGCAAACGGG
Molecule: ribosomal RNA, 253 nt
Filed under: uncultured bacterium
Lineage: Bacteria
Description: partial 16S ribosomal RNA
Rfam family: Bacterial small subunit ribosomal RNA
Source: RNAcentral